Long non-coding RNA from Vitis riparia (riverbank grape), 376 nucleotides. RefSeq lists it as uncharacterized. The transcript has 3 exons. Lineage: Eukaryota; Viridiplantae; Streptophyta; Magnoliopsida; Vitales; Vitaceae. The record is from RefSeq and is a predicted model, not a curated record.
CUAAUUGACCUACCAUCACCAAGAUUUUGGGAACUUCUUCAAAUAAUCAACACAGCCUUUGUGAUUUCUCACUAGAGAGAUAGAAGCCCCUAUUGCUUAUAGAUAUCAACUAUCAGGUCUUUAUGUUCCUUGGUUCAAUUGUGCAUGGGGAAGAGAUGAUCCUGAUUACAGAGCAUUUGUCAAAAGUAGGUUUUAUUAUGAAUCUAUUGUGUGGUCCUUUCCAUAACCUUAUUUAUGGAAUUGAUUAAUGAUAUAUCCUAUUUGUGGAAGCUUAAUAUUAGUUUAAGUUUAGAUCAUUAUUGUGUGCAUUGUUUGUAUGGUCAAAUUAUAAAAUUUAACAUAGAAAAUUCUAUAAUUUGGUUUAGAAUUUGAUUUU